CUUCCAUAUAACAACAAUUGUUGACAAAGAGAAGAGGGACCACUCCUAUUAGGGAAGAAAAUUGAAAUGUGAAUCACAGUACUCACAAAACCUGAAGUAGAAGAACCUCAACACAAAUGUCUAAACAAAGCCCCUCCAUGAAAAGGAUAAUUCAUUGCUCGGUUAGACCCAAAAGCCUGAACCAUGAAACCUCGACAUAAACUGGACAAAGAAAGCCUCUCGAUCAAAAGAGUUACUGCUCUGUAAGACCCAAUGG
This 256-nucleotide unclassified non-coding RNA is filed under the name Hevea brasiliensis (rubber tree). The record is from RNAcentral. Lineage: Eukaryota; Viridiplantae; Streptophyta; Magnoliopsida; Malpighiales; Euphorbiaceae.